RNAcentral lists this ribosomal RNA (484 nucleotides) under uncultured bacterium. RNAcentral's name for it is "partial 16S ribosomal RNA". It matches the Rfam family "Bacterial small subunit ribosomal RNA", at positions 28 to 523 of the family's 1533-position model. The record is from RNAcentral.
GACGAACGCUGGCGGCGUGCUUAACACAUGCAAGUCGAACGGAAAGGCCCUGCUUUUGUGGGGUGCUCGAGUGGCGAACGGGUGAGUAACACGUGAGUAACCUGCCCGUGACUUUGGGAUAACUUCAGGAAACUGGGGCUAAUACCGGAUAGGAGCUCCUGCUGCAGGGUGUGGGUUGGAAAGUUUCGGCGGUUGGGGAUGGACUCGCGGGUUAUCAGCUAGUUGGUGGGGUAGUGGCUUACCAAGGCUUUGACGGGUAGCCGGCCUGAGAGGGUGACCGGCCACAUUGGGACUGAGAUACGGCCCAGACUCCUACGGGAGGCAGCAGUGGGGAAUAUUGCACAAUGGGCGGAAGCCUGAUGCAGCAACGCCGCGUGCGGGAUGACGGCCUUCGGGUUGUAAACCGCUUUCGCCUGUGACGAAGCGUGAGUGACGGUAAUGGGUAAAGAAGCACCGGCUAACUACGUGCCAGCCGCCGCGGUAA